This 468-nucleotide ribosomal RNA is filed under the name uncultured bacterium. Its description in RNAcentral is "partial 16S ribosomal RNA". It matches the Rfam family "Bacterial small subunit ribosomal RNA", at positions 28 to 507 of the family's 1533-position model. The record is from RNAcentral.
GACGAACGCUGGCGGCGUGCUUAACACAUGCAAGUCGAACGGAAAGGCCCUGCUUUUGUGGGGUGCUCGAGUGGCGAACGGGUGAGUAACACGUGAGUAACCUGCCCUUGACUUUGGGAUAACUUCAGGAAACUGGGGCUAAUACCGGAUAGGAGCUCCUGCUGCAUGGUGGGGGUUGGAAAGUUUCGGCGGUUGGGGAUGGACUCGCGGCUUAUCAGCUUGUUGGUGGGGUAGUGGCUUACCAAGGCUUUGACGGGUAGCCGGCCUGAGAGGGUGACCGGCCACAAUGGGACUGAGAGAGGGCCCAGACGCCUACGGGAGACAGCAGGGGGGAAUAUGGCACAAUGGGCGGAAGCCUGAUGCAGCAACGCCGCGUGCGUGAUGACGGCCUUCGGGGUGUAAACCGCUGUCGCCUGUGACGAAGCGGGAGUGACGGUAAUGGGUAAAGAAGCACCGGCUAACUACGUG